Aethalodelphis obliquidens (Pacific white-sided dolphin) is the source of this 1173-nucleotide long non-coding RNA. RefSeq lists it as uncharacterized. The transcript has 4 exons. The record is from RefSeq and is a predicted model, not a curated record. NCBI's taxonomy places the organism in Eukaryota, Metazoa, Chordata, Mammalia, Artiodactyla, Delphinidae.
AGUAAGGUGAAACGAUUUCAGAAAUUGGAGCUUAGAGUGCGGUGAUGAAAACUUGGACGUGGGGAACGCGCCGCCGGGCCGCCACGUGUCCCGAGUCGUGGUGGCGGCCGGCUUCGAGCGUAGGCGUGCGGAGGCGGCCGCUUGUGGCCGCGCGGCCUGGUUGUUACGCCCGGGCAGCCCCUGACUGAGCCUGGGAGGCGACCGGCAGAAGACAACAUUCCUGGGAUUUGGGGGCGGGGGGUUACCCUUAACGUUAAGAGCAAGAGUCCCGUGAUAGGGUGUCUUUCUCCCAUGGCCAGAUCAACAGUUAUUUCAAAACGGGCAGCCCCGGACUCGGCGUGAGACUGAGUUGUAUUGUGCCGAGGUGGCGCUGUGUGCAAAUAGGAUUAUUGAAGGGGAGGAGUUUAGUGCUGAAAACCUUGAACUAUGACUUUCUGUGAGAAUGCUUAAUUUUAAAUAGAUGCCCCGCAAGAACAAUGGCUUUAGGUGUAACGGAGCUGUUAUGUGGAGAGGCAGAGGUAAGGGUUGUUGAGGGCUUAUUUUUAAACCGAAGGAGUAAACCUGUUGAUUUACAGAAACGAUGAUGGAGCAUCAUUUGAAAUUAAACUUUUUUUUAGAUGCAAAGAAAAGUUCCAAAACGUAUGGGAGAAGGUUUGCUGGAAAAUGACUUGGUUAAAACUUGACAAUCUUACCAGGAGCAUCCUGCAGGUCGAUGAAUACUAAUGAAGCUAUGACCGUCACCGAUUGAUGAUGAACAGCUUCAUUUGAAAUGACAGGGGUCGCUGUCCGCCUAUUGAAAGAGGCCAGUUUGCCAUGAAGUUCCUAAGGUGUAAAUAUGUCUGGCUAGUGCCACGAGAUUUACUUGUCUGUUGUAUGAAAAACUGGUGAUCAGGAAAAGCUCUUCAUUUUAUGGACACGGAAAGAAAACAAAACUCAAGACAGAUUAUUUAAUUUUGAAAUUGCAUUUGUAAAAAGAUUUCUGAGCCAACGUCAAAUCUAGAUUAAUGCAUCCAUAAGAUUCAAGCCAUUUCUGUUUAAUCUUGUCACUGUCCUAGAGUCAUAACCUGUUAGCCAGUAUAUUAUUGAUACUUUCUAGCUCUGAAACUGUUUUUAAUGGAAAAUUAUUUUUCAGUUGUCCAGCCUUGUAAUUAAAUAAUUCUGAGUGAAUGUUUA